Molecule: ribosomal RNA, 253 nt
Filed under: uncultured bacterium
Lineage: Bacteria
Description: partial 16S ribosomal RNA
Rfam family: Bacterial small subunit ribosomal RNA
Source: RNAcentral
GACGUAGGGCGCGAGCGUUGUCCGGAUUUAUUGGGCGUAAAGAGCUCGUAGGCGGCUUGUCGCGUCGAAUGUGAAAUCUCAGGGCUCAACUCUGACAUUGCAUUCGAUACGGGCAGGCUAGAGUUCGGUAGGGGAGACUGGAAUUCCUGGUGUAGCGGUGGAAUGCGCAGAUAUCAGGAGGAACACCGGCGGCGAAGGCAGAUCUCUGGGACGUUACUGACGCUGAGACGCGAAAGCGUGGGGAGCAAACAGG